CGCCAAGCCAUUGCCUGCCCGAUCCCCUUCUUGGCUCGCAUGAUUUUCAUGUACCAUGGCCGCAUAGCCCUCGCCGGAAUAGACGGUCAAACACCACCCAAGCAUAGCCCUCGCUGGAAUCCAUCCCCAUGACUUAAUCGAGCUCCUGCUACACCCGACCUCUUCCUUUGCGCAAGCGAGCUGAUUAGCACAGAGGAGAUCUGGCACAUUGGAGCAACGACAUGAGAGCACGUCACGUGGCUCUUGGAUGAGCACGUCCGUGGCCAGCGAGCGGGGUUGCGUGUCCCUGCGACGGCAGGUCUCAUGGCCCCUCCGACGAGCGCCUCUCUCCCCUCUUCCAGGCGACCGACGAGAUCCCCACGCCGAUGAUGCGGUCAAGGCAUCAAGCGCCCACAUCGCCGUCAAUCUCCUCCCCUUGCCAUGGCAGUCGUGUGGCAGGUUCGAGCAGCAAGCUCGUCCCUAGUGCUGAUGGCUAGACCAAGCUAGAAAGAGUGAAACACGUAUAAUACCUAUAUAUUUUUCUUUUUUCUUUUAUAUCCGUUUCCCCUUCCUUUCUCUCCUCUCUCUACCUUAUCUCUUUUCCCCUACCGUCAGCUACUUCUUCCCCACCAUCCGCUGCUCCACGCCACGGGGACUCGGCGGAGCUGCCUCCUCGGAGCUUGCGAACAAGGAUCUCCCGUCCCGGCAUCCCUCCGCUCCUCCUUGUGCAGCAACACGGCGGCUCGCCGGCGGUGCUCAUCUCUGCGCGGGCGUGGCGACCCGAUGUCGCUCCACUACUCCUCGGGCGUCGCCACUGUCGCUCUCCACCGGCCAUGCCUCCCAAUGAGCCGGUGAGGUAUUCAAGAUGCUAGUGGUUGUAAAUAUGCCUUACUACCAGAAGACUUCAAUUUCAAAGUCUCUGCAAUGAUGGUUUGUGGUAUACCGACAAUGGAGGAGUUUCUGUGUUUUAAGAGGACAAGGCGAUGGGAUCCGGCAACCUCACCUCAACACUACAAAAGUUGUACAUGUGGGAGAAGAAGCUUCUUGAGGAAGUUAAGGAGAUGGACAUGAUAAGUCAGGAAGUAUGCUCUUAAGUUUCUAUUCAUUUAACUGCUCCACAGUCCACACUGAUGGUCCCACUCAUAGGCCACAGCAGGGGCACGGCAACACCAUGCCUAGUUUCUAAUACCAUGGAAGCAGCCCCAACAGUGAUCACUACUGCAUGUGUGCUGGAGGCUCGAGGGGAAGAAGUAUGACAUCACGAGGAAGCUGGGGACUCAUUUCGUGAGCCACUGCUGGUUCACAGGGUGUCUCAGGGAGGGGAGGCGCCUCCCAGAGGAUCCCUACUUGAUGGUGGUUUCUAAAUUUGUAUUGUACCUUUUCUCAGCAAUCAACAAACCUAAAGGUGGAAGAUGUGUAAUUAUCAAUGGAUGAUCUUGAGAUGAUUCAAGUCAUUGGCAAAUAAAGUGGUGGUGUUGUUCAGUUAGUGAACAUAAGUGGGUGCGGACAUUAUAUGCUUUAAAGAGCCGCGGCGCUUGAACGACGACUUCGGUUCGCGUCCUCGAUGUGCUGCUGCCCUCAGCAAGGGAGGCCGCGAUCGAUGUGCUGCUGCCCUCAGCAACGGCGGCUGGACGUCGGGCUUUAACCUGUCAGCAACCGAGGUCACGGUGCAUCAAGGGGACGUCAAGCACAAGUCCUUUGGUCACGCACACACACAGGAAACUCACGCACGCAGAAGAUUUUGUUAACCUGAAUGAUGGAUGGAUGUGCUGCUGCCCUCAGCAAGGGAGGCCGCGAUCGAUGUGCUGCUGCCCUCAGCAACGGCGUCUGGACAUCGGGAUUUGACCUGCCAGCAACCGAGGUCACGGACAAUCAAGGGGACGUCGAGGGUCUAGGGGAGGCACGGCGCUGCGAGGAGCAGGAGGCCGGGCAAUGGUCCCGAGGUAGGGCGGAUUGCAGGGCAAGGGCAAGGGCGAUGCUGGAGGCGUCGAGGACCGGGAAAGGAUCGAUUGACAGGUUGUGAUUGUGUUGAUUGUGUUGGCUUUCCUUGUAGGGCGUCGACUCGCAGGAAGAAGGAAGCCGCGGUUGCAGUGGAGGAAUCGAUCGAGUGCUACGUUGAUGAAAUUUUAUAUCAGGAAUCCUUUAUUUUUCUUUAUUUUAUUUUGCACCCUUCCACAUCUCUGAUUAUAUAUUAUUCUCUAUCGUAAAUUUGCAUCAGGAAUCCUUUUUUGUUUUUUAUUUCAAUUUUCACCCUUCCACCUCCUACGACAUCGGUUGUUUCGCACCUAGAGGGGAGCGGGAGCGACCCAAAAAAAUUCGCACCAUCUGGGUGGUUUUACUUUUGUUCUUUUUAGUUGUAGGAGAUAAUCCAAAGCCAAAGGAAAUAAUGCCAACCAUAUUUUAAUAAUCAUCGGCUGAUUAUCACUUAA
Sorghum bicolor (sorghum) is the source of this 2408-nucleotide long non-coding RNA. RefSeq lists it as uncharacterized. The transcript has 6 exons. The record is from RefSeq and is a predicted model, not a curated record. NCBI's taxonomy places the organism in Eukaryota, Viridiplantae, Streptophyta, Magnoliopsida, Poales, Poaceae.